GAGGUAACGGCUCACCAAGGCGACGACGGGUAGCCGGCCUGAGAGGGCGACCGGCCACACUGGGACUGAGACACGGCCCAGACUCCUACGGGAGGCAGCAGUGGGGAAUAUUGCACAAUGGGCGCAAGCCUGACGCAGCGACGCCGCGUGGGGGAUGACGGCCUUCGGGUUGUAAACCUCUUUCAGCAGGGACGAAGCGCAAGUGACGGUACCUGCAGAAGAAGCACCAGCCAACUACGUGCCAGCAGCCGCGGUAAUACGUAGGGCGCGAGCGUUGUCCGGAAUUAUUGGGCGUAAAGGGCUCGUAGGUGGUUUGUCGCGUCGUCUGUGAAAUUCCGGGGCUUAACUCCGGGCGUGCAGGCGAUACGGGCAUAACUUGAGUACUGUAGGGGUAACUGGAAUUCCUGGUGUAGCGGUGAAAUGCGCAGAUAUCAGGAGGAACACCGGUGGCGAAGGCGGGUCUCUGGGCCGAUACUGACGCUGAGGAGCGAAAGCGUGGGGAGCGAACAGGAUUAGAUACCCUGGUAGUCCACGCCGUAAACGGUGGGCA
This 550-nucleotide ribosomal RNA is filed under the name uncultured Actinomycetes bacterium. RNAcentral's name for it is "bacterial SSU rRNA". It matches the Rfam family "Bacterial small subunit ribosomal RNA", at positions 254 to 815 of the family's 1533-position model. Lineage: Bacteria; Bacillati; Actinomycetota; Actinomycetes. The record is from RNAcentral.